This 253-nucleotide ribosomal RNA is filed under the name uncultured bacterium. RNAcentral's name for it is "partial 16S ribosomal RNA". It matches the Rfam family "Bacterial small subunit ribosomal RNA", at positions 524 to 776 of the family's 1533-position model. The record is from RNAcentral.
UACGGAGGGUGCAAGCGUUAUCCGGAUUCACUGGGUUUAAAGGGAGCGUAGGUGGGCUGGUAAGUCAGUGGUGAAAUCUCCGGGCUUAACUCGGAAACUGCCGUUGAUACUAUCAGUCUUGAAUAUUGUGGAGGUAAGCGGAAUAUGUCAUGUAGCGGUGAAAUGCUUAGAUAUGACAUAGAACACCGAUAGCGAAGGCAGCUUGCUGCACAAUUAUUGACACUGAGGCUCGAAAGCGUGGGGAUCAAGCAGG